This 252-nucleotide ribosomal RNA is filed under the name uncultured bacterium. RNAcentral's name for it is "partial 16S ribosomal RNA". It matches the Rfam family "Bacterial small subunit ribosomal RNA", at positions 524 to 776 of the family's 1533-position model. The record is from RNAcentral.
UACGUAGGGGGCAAGCGUUGUCCGGAAUCAUUGGGCGUAAAGCGCGUGUAGGCGGCCAGAAAAGUCCGCUGUGAAAACUCGAGGCUCAACCUCGAGCUGUCGGUGGAAACUUUCUGGCUAGAGUCCGGAAGAGGAGAAUGGAAUUCCUGGUGUAGCGGUGAAUGCGCAGAUAUCAGGAGGAACACCGGUGGCGAAGGCGGGUCUCUGGGCCGAUACUGACGCUGAGGAGCGAAAGCGUGGGGAGCGAACAGG